AUUGAACGCUGGCGGCAGGCUUAACACAUGCAAGUCGAGCGAGCGGCGGACGGGUGAGUAAUGUCUGGGAAACUGCCUGAUGGAGGGGGAUACCUACUGGAAACGGUAGCUAAUACCGCAUACCAUCAGAUGUGCCCAGAUGGUCUUAGCUAGUAGGUGGGGUAAGGGCUCACCUUGGCGACGAUCCCUAGCUGGUCUGAGAGGAUGACCAGCCAAACUGGAACUGAGAAACGGUCCGGACUCCUACGGGAGGCAGAAGUGGGGAAUAUUGGCCGAUGGGCGCAAGCCUGAUGCAGCCAUGCCGCGUGUGGGAAGAAGGCCUUCGGGUUGUAAAGCACUUUCAGCGAGGAGGCGUUACUCGCAGAAGAAGCACCGGCUAACUCCGUGCCAGCAGCCGCGGUAAUUC
RNAcentral lists this ribosomal RNA (406 nucleotides) under uncultured bacterium. Its description in RNAcentral is "partial 16S ribosomal RNA". It matches the Rfam family "Bacterial small subunit ribosomal RNA", at positions 30 to 526 of the family's 1533-position model. The record is from RNAcentral.